GGGGACUGCGGAGGACAUUACACAAAUAUGAAGGCGGGCUGGAACCUCUCGGGGUUACAGCCUUGCUGAAUUAUUCACCCUUGUCUUUUGCGUACUUCUUGUUUCCUUGGUGGGUUCGCCCACCACUAGGACAAACAUAAACCUUUUGUAAUUGCAAUCAGCGUCAGUAACAAAUUAAUAAUUACAACUUUCAACAACGGAUCUCUUGGUUCUGGCAUCGAUGAAGAACGCAGCGAAAUGCGAUAAGUAGUGUGAAUUGCAGAAUUCAGUGAAUCAUCGAAUCUUUGAACGCACAUUGCGCCCUUUGGUAUUCCAAAGGGCAUGCCUGUUCGAGCGUCAUUUGUACCCUCAAGCUUUGCUUGGUGUUGGGCGUCUUGUCUCUAGCUUUGCUGGAGACUCGCCUUAAAGUAAUUGGCAGCCGGCCUACUGGUUUCGGAGCGCAGCACAAGUCGCACUCUCUAUCAGCAAAGGUCUAGCAUCCAUUAAGCCUUUUUUUCAACUUUUGACCUCGGAUCAGGUAGGGAUACCCGCUGAACUUAAGCAUAUCAUAA
This 551-nucleotide ribosomal RNA is filed under the name Alternaria sp. CX9. RNAcentral's name for it is "eukaryotic LSU rRNA". The stretch from base 186 to 339 matches the Rfam family "5.8S ribosomal RNA". The record is from RNAcentral. Lineage: Eukaryota; Fungi; Ascomycota; Dothideomycetes; Pleosporales; Pleosporaceae.